RNAcentral lists this ribosomal RNA (497 nucleotides) under uncultured bacterium. Its description in RNAcentral is "partial 16S ribosomal RNA". It matches the Rfam family "Bacterial small subunit ribosomal RNA", at positions 28 to 507 of the family's 1533-position model. The record is from RNAcentral.
GAUGAACGCUGGCGGCGUGCCUAAUACAUGCAAGUCGAACGCUGAAGGAAGGAGCUUGCUCUUUCCGGAUUAGCUGCGAACGGGUGAGUAACGCGUAGGUAACCUGCCUGGUAGCGGGGGAUAACUACUGGAAACGAUAGCUAAUACCGCAUAAUAGUAUAUGUCGCAUGAUUUAUACUUAAAAGAUGCAAUUGCUCUACCAUCUAGAUGACCCGCGUUGUAUUAGCUAGUUGGUUAGGUAACGGCUUACCAAAGCCAAGGUACCUUACCGACCUUGGAGGGUGAACCGCCAACCCGGGACUUGGGCACCGGCCAGGACUCCUCGGGGAGCAAGAGUAGGGGAACUUUGGGAAUGGACGGAAGGCUGAACGAGCAACGCCGGGUGGGGGAAGGAGGUUUUCGGGACGUAAAACUCUGUUGAAAGAGGAGAACGAGUGUGAGAGUGGAAAGUUCACGCUUUGACGGUAUCUUACCAGAAAGGGACGGCUAACUACGUG